This 23-nucleotide microRNA is filed under the name Nematostella vectensis (starlet sea anemone). RNAcentral's name for it is "nve-miR-2050-5p". The record is from miRBase by way of RNAcentral. Lineage: Eukaryota; Metazoa; Cnidaria; Anthozoa; Actiniaria; Edwardsiidae.
CCCGGGUCCCAGUCAUCAAACGU